This is a non-coding RNA of Triticum urartu, 125 nucleotides long. The record is from Rfam. NCBI's taxonomy places the organism in Eukaryota, Viridiplantae, Streptophyta, Magnoliopsida, Poales, Poaceae.
AAAGUACUCCCUCCGUCCCAAAAUACUUAUCGGAGAAAUGGAUAAAAAUAGAUGUAUCUACAACUAAAAUACAUUCAGAUACAUCUAUUUGUCCGACAAGUAUUUUUGAACAAAGGAAGUACAUA